Molecule: ribosomal RNA, 301 nt
Filed under: uncultured bacterium
Lineage: Bacteria
Description: partial 16S ribosomal RNA
Rfam family: Bacterial small subunit ribosomal RNA
Source: RNAcentral
CAGUCGCCGCGGUAAUACGAAGGGUGCAAGCGUUACUCGGAAUUACUGGGCGUAAAGCGUGCGUAGGUGGUGGUUUAAGUCCGUUGUGAAAGCCCUGGGCUCAACCUGGGAAUUGCAGUGGAUACUGGCUCGCUAGAGUGUGUCAGAGGAUGGUGGAAUUCCCGGUGUAGCGGUGAAAUGCGUAGAGAUCGGGAGGAACAUCAGUGGCGAAGGCGGCCAUCUGGGACAACACUGACGCUGAGGCACGAAAGCGUGGGGAGCAAACAGGAUUAGAUACCCCCGUAGUCCCUGUCUCUUAUAA